This 510-nucleotide ribosomal RNA is filed under the name uncultured bacterium. RNAcentral describes it as "bacterial SSU rRNA". It matches the Rfam family "Bacterial small subunit ribosomal RNA", at positions 19 to 518 of the family's 1533-position model. The record is from RNAcentral.
CUGGCUCAGGAUGAACGCUAGCGAUAGGCCUAACACAUGCAAGUCGAGGGGCAUCACAUGAGGUAGCAAUACCGAUGGUGGCGACCGGCGCACGGGUGAGUAACACGUAUGCAACCUGCCUUCAACAAGGGCAUAACCCGUUGAAAGACGGACUAAUUCCCUAUGACACAGGGGUCCCGCAUGGGGAUAUUUGUUAAAGAUUAAUCGGUUGGAGAUGGGCAUGCGUUCCAUUAGCUUGUUGGCGGGGUAACGGCCCACCAAGGCAACGAUGGAUAGGGGAACUGAGAGGUUUAUCCCCCACACUGGUACUGAGACACGGACCAGACUCCUACGGGAGGCAGCAGUGAGGAAUAUUGGUCAAUGGGCGCAAGCCUGAACCAGCCACGUCGCGUGAAGGAAGACGGCCCUACGGGUUGUAAACUUCUUUUGCAAGGGAAUAAAGUUGGCCACGCGUGGCCUUUCGCAUGUACCUUGCGAAUAAGGAUCGGCUAACUCCGUGCCAGCAGCAGC